CCUACGGGAGUCUGCAGUGGGGAAUAUUGGACAAUGGGGGCAACCCUGAUCCAGCCAUGCCGCGUGUGUGAAGAAGGCCCUCGGGUUGUAAAGCACUUUCAGUGAGGAAGAACGCCUGGUGGUUAAUACCCAUCAGGAAAGACAUCACUCACAGAAGAAGCACCGGCUAACUCCGUGCCAGCAGCCGCGGUAAUACGGAGGGUGCGAGCGUUAAUCGGAAUUACUGGGCGUAAAGCGCGCGUAGGUGGCUUGAUAAGCCGGUUGUGAAAGCCCCGGGCUCAACCUGGGAACGGCAUCCGGAACUGUCCAGCUAGAGUGCAGGAGAGGAAGGUAGAAUUCCCGGUGUAGCGGUGAAAUGCGUAGAGAUCGGGAGGAAUACCAGUGGCGAAGGCGGCCUUCUGGACUGACACUGACACUGAGGUGCGAAAGCGUGGGUAGCAAACAGGAUUAGAUACCCGAGUAGUC
This 465-nucleotide ribosomal RNA is filed under the name Vreelandella stevensii. RNAcentral's name for it is "partial 16S ribosomal RNA". It matches the Rfam family "Bacterial small subunit ribosomal RNA", at positions 338 to 795 of the family's 1533-position model. Lineage: Bacteria; Pseudomonadati; Pseudomonadota; Gammaproteobacteria; Oceanospirillales; Halomonadaceae. The record is from RNAcentral.